RNAcentral lists this ribosomal RNA (245 nucleotides) under uncultured bacterium. Its description in RNAcentral is "partial 16S ribosomal RNA". It matches the Rfam family "Bacterial small subunit ribosomal RNA", at positions 524 to 768 of the family's 1533-position model. The record is from RNAcentral.
UACGGAGGGUGCAAGCGUUAUCCGGAUUCACUGGGUUUAAAGGGUGCGUAGGCGGACUUUUAAGUCAGUGGUGAAAUCCUGCAGCUUAACUGCAGAACUGCCAUUGAUACUAUUUGUCUUGAAUGUCGUGGAGGUUAGCGGAAUAUGUCAUGUAGCGGUGAAAUGCUUAGAUAUGACAUAGAACACCUAUUGCGAAGGCAGCUAACUACGCGAAUAUUGACGCUGAGGCACGAAAGCGUGGGGAU